UACGUAGGGUGCGAGCGUUGUCCGGAAUUAUUGGGCGUAAAGAGCUCGUAGGCGGUUUGUCGCGUCUGCUGUGAAAACCUAAGGCUCAACCUUGGGCUUGCAGUGGGUACGGGCAGACUAGAGGUAUGCAGGGGAGAAUGGAAUUCCUGGUGUAGCGGUGAAAUGCGCAGAUAUCAGGAGGAACACCGGUGGCGAAGGCGGUUCUCUGGGCAUUACCUGACGCUGAGGAGCGAAAGUGUGGGGAGCGAACAGG
This 253-nucleotide ribosomal RNA is filed under the name uncultured bacterium. RNAcentral's name for it is "partial 16S ribosomal RNA". It matches the Rfam family "Bacterial small subunit ribosomal RNA", at positions 524 to 776 of the family's 1533-position model. The record is from RNAcentral.